Molecule: ribosomal RNA, 253 nt
Filed under: uncultured bacterium
Lineage: Bacteria
Description: partial 16S ribosomal RNA
Rfam family: Bacterial small subunit ribosomal RNA
Source: RNAcentral
UACGUAGGGGGCUAGCGUUGUCCGGAUUUAUUGGGCGUAAAGAGCGUGUAGGCGGCCAGGUAGGUCUGCUGUGAAAACUCGAGGCUCAACCUCGAGACGUCGGCGGAAACCAUCUGGCUAGAGUCCGGAAGAGGAGAGUGGAAUUCCUGGUGUAGCGGUGAAAUGCGCAGAUAUCAGGAAGAACACCGGUGGCGAAGGCGGGUCUCUGGGCCGAUACUGACGCUGAGGAGCGAAAGCGUGGGGAGCGAACAGG